RNAcentral lists this long non-coding RNA (2215 nucleotides) under Homo sapiens (human). RNAcentral describes it as "HSALNT0010896". Lineage: Eukaryota; Metazoa; Chordata; Mammalia; Primates; Hominidae. The record is from RNAcentral.
GCCCCCGGCGAGUCCACACCCCUGCCCCGCCUCCUCCCGGUAGGAAACUCCGGGACCCUGCAAGGGAUGACUCACCCCAGUGAUUCAACCGCGCCACCGAGCGCGGAGCUGCCCUGGAGGACGCAGGCGGGUCUAGUUGCCCGGGUCCCCCAAGGCCCCCGGAUUCACCCAGGCCCGCGACUCCGACGUGCAGCUUAGGUGGGUUGCAGGUCUAUGGCAGGAAAGGGAGGGCGCCUUGGAAGAAUUCUUCCCUUCCAUUUGGUGAUAAAGUGGGAGAGGCGGCAUUUACAACAUUUAAUAGAAAGCACGGGCUCUGGGCUCCCCUCGGGCAGCGGAGGGCAUUUCCCGGAUGCUUUGCCCACCUGGGGCAGAAGCUCGGGACCUGCAGCGAAGUAAACGUGUGGCUGUGAGCAGGGCCCUCUCCCAGCCACGGUGGCUUCUUCUACCCCACGAAGGUCAAGAAUACCUGGCCUGCCCACCUCGCGGGGCCCUUAGCGGGUCGCACAGGAGAAAGGCGGUGGGAAUGCCGGUGUCAGCCACGGUGUGACCGGCUCGGCUCACAGGUCUGAGGGUCAGUUGGCUCAGGCAUCGCCCGGUACGACCAGAGAUAGUGACUGAGGAAGAGCAGCCUCACAUCUGGCAGUUUGCCUCUGGGAGAAUUCCAGCGUGACAUCUGCAGCUCUGUGGUUCCAGAAAGGAUGGUUCCCACAUUGAAGAAGACAUCUGUGGGACUGAGUUCCACCGAAAUGCAGAGGAACCAAAAAUGAAAAUGAAAAAUGUAACCAGAGUUGUGUGCCACUAGUUUUAAGCUUUGGUUUUUCUAAAUUAUUUUCUGGCUUCUCCUUCUGGGCUUUGCUGUAAACUUGCCAAGCAUGAGAACAACUCUUCAUCUAUUGAGUGGCAUUUUAAGCCAUCCUGUCAAAGUAUCUCCUGUCAUUUUUAUUAUUAUUACUCUAUAUUGCCUGCAAGACACGACUGGAGAAUUCUUAGUCCUAGUUAACAGAUGCUCCAAAUUUUGAGCCUGUAACCCUUCCAAUCCCUUGCUGCCUUUGAUGGUGAUGCUCCAUCCUAUUAUACCAACUCCACAUUGAAGCAGAACUCUCAAGACAGAGCUGAUGUCAUGAUGUCAGUGGAAAAGCAAAUGAUCAUUUGGGAAUAUCCAGUGAUCUCAAUACCAGUCUAUUACUUGCUGCCAGUGAAAAUGGCCAAAAAAUAUUGUUCUAGCAUCCUAUAGGUAUUAACUGAAUGCUCACAACAACCUUCUGAGAGAUGGGGAGGGAUGGAUGGGCUGUGAGGCCCCCCAGCCAAGAAGCUGGAAGAACUUUCUCGAAUCCUGCAGAGCUGCUCAGGGGCCUGCCUUGUAUCUGCCUGGCUGUUCCAGGGAGGUUGGAAGACAAACUGAAGGCUUUCCAUUGCUGAACAUCAGACCUCAGAAGUACUGACUGGAGGGCUCCCAAGCUGGCUCAGAUCAGCCUCAUAUUGCCCCGAACAGUAUCAUCACCGCUUUGCCCUGGUGGGGAAACUACUCUUUACCCUCUGUAUGAACCUAUGAAGCACGCAGGUCACUGGGGCAAUUUCUGAGUUUGAAGUUGCUUGGAUUUGCCAUUGCUGCUAUGUUGAAGGGAAGGGAGUGCUUUUGAAGAAAAUGUUCAUCUCUAGUUCCAGUAACAGGCAUGGAAUUGACACAUAACAGGUGUUUGUUGAAUUGAGCUGAAUAAAUUAGAAUCUGGGGCAAAAUAUAGUUGUUCUUUAUAGUCCUAAGUCUAUUAAUAAAGCAGAUAUAUCCUUAUUACAUGUUUUACUGCCAUAAAUGUGUCUACCAGAACUAGGAAUAAUGACAGACGGAAGGGUUGAGGAUUCUUUCUGACGAUAACCUGCCAGGACACCCGCUUCCUCCCUCCCUGUCCAGAUGGGGUGGACUACAGUGCUCUGGCUCACACCAGGGGUGGAGGUAUUCCCAUUAUUUGUCUGUUUUGUUGUCUGUAGUGCUUAGUCAGAAUGCUGCCUGAUACAUUGCAGGGGUUCAAUGACUUUCUGUGGAAUGAAUGAACAGACAGAUGGUUACUUACCCCAGGGACAUAAGAGCCUCACAUAGCUGCAGCGUGAGCAGUGCCCUCUGCAGUCCUGGACCCAGAUGCAUAGAGGCCGAGAUGUUCAGCCUUCCACCCCAUGGCCAUCCCGGAGCCUGGGGCUGACUCUGUCUGGUUUGGCUGCU